UGAGAAGGUUAUUCUCACUGUGGGCCUCAGAGCACAGUAAUACACAGCAGAGUCUGACAGCUGCACAUUCUGCACUGUUAAAGGUACAGACUUUGCAGUUGUGUCCAGAUUGGCAUCAAAUCUCUCCUCAUACUCUUCAGCAAUAGCACCUUUAUCAUAACUUCCUCUUCUCAGCAUGUACUUGGGAGACUCCUUGGGAUAUUGGAUGUACCAGAAGAGGUAGUAGGUGGUGGACGUGGUCAUUUCAUAGUUACAGUUAAUUAUCACUGAUCCUCCUUCGGAUGCAAAGACAUCUCCAGCAGUCUGAUUCACUUUGUCUGCAGCCCUGCACUCUGUGGAAAUGAGAGUGGAAGAAUUAGGUAACACACCAUGAAUAUAAAAACAGUAUCAAAAACUCAUGGAAAUGAUGAAUUACCGAUAAAUGCUGAAAAAAUUAGAAAAAUUCUCAAUGAAUGUUCCAUAAUUGGGUUGUUAAACUAAAAACACAGAUGUAUGUGUACUAUAAAUUAAACAGAUUUUCUAGUUGUUGCAUACUCUCUCUGUGCCCUAAAAUGCCUCAUCAGGUCGUAAGGAGCUGCUUAUAUGACAGAGGUGUAACAGGAAAUAUGCAUGUUUUUGCUGCAAUGUUGCCCCCAACAGGCAAAACGUGAGACUGCAGCCUCACUCUUCCUGAACACCAUCUCCAUGUCAUUACAGGUGGUGAACGCCAAACAAGCUGAACAAAAUGAAAGCUUUAGAUGAUGUCAGUAACACCGUCAGUCAUAUACUCCUCUCUAAGAAGUAUUUUUUGUCGUUUUCCUGUCUGUUACUGCAGUGUCUUCUGUGUGUUGUACUGGUUUAAAUGCUGCUUGCAGUGAAGUCAAUUAAUGGGAACAGAAACCAAGAGAUGGACUCUGUUCCCCUAUUUCCCUAUUUAAUUAAAGAGUAGAUAAUGCUGCUGCUG
Molecule: long non-coding RNA, 943 nt
Organism: Brienomyrus brachyistius
Lineage: Eukaryota; Metazoa; Chordata; Actinopteri; Osteoglossiformes; Mormyridae
Exons: 3
Source: RefSeq, a predicted model, not a curated record